UUUGAUGGCGACCGGCGCACGGGUGAGUAACACGUAUCCAACCUGCCGAUGACUCGGGGAUAGCCUUUCGAAAGAAAGAUUAAUACCCGAUGGCAUAGUUCUUCCGCAUGGUAGAACUAUUAAAGAAUUUCGGUCAUCGAUGGGGAUGCGUUCCAUUAGGUUGUUGGCGGGGUAACGGCCCACCAAGCCUUCGAUGGAUAGGGGUUCUGAGAGGAAGGUCCCCCACAUUGGUACUGAGACACGGACCAA
RNAcentral lists this ribosomal RNA (249 nucleotides) under uncultured bacterium. RNAcentral describes it as "partial 16S ribosomal RNA". It matches the Rfam family "Bacterial small subunit ribosomal RNA", at positions 84 to 334 of the family's 1533-position model. The record is from RNAcentral.